GUACAACGAAGAAGAAAAAGACCGGAUGUUUAUGUCAAUGACGUUAGCAGGCGUCAUUUUCAAAGCUCUUUACGGCCGUUGUCUUGGUGCUGAGUGUUUAACUCUGUACAAACAAUAAAGCGCAACUACUACUUCGGUAAACUACACCGGUAACAUUAGCAGGAUGGGUUCACGCUAACACCUAACCGGCUUGUGUGAAGAUUUUUUUUCAUGUAGGACUGUUUUCAUAUCAGUGACUGGAAGCUGGAAAUAUUAUGGACAAUCUGGAUUUCUCAGAGGAGGAAAUUCAAGAACAGUUAGCCCUCCUUGGCUACAAAAACAUACCAAAGCACAGGCUGCGUGAAUUUAAACAAGAUCUGGAUGAGCUGGUUCGACGAGGGGAGUGGAAAGGCCUUUCCUCAUCAAAUGAGAUAAAUGCCAAAUCUCAGGCAACUACACCUCAGCCAAGUCCCCCUGCCUAUACCAAAGAAAAGGUUAGUCCACACUGCUUUAAAGGCACUAGUGAAUCAUUCUUCCUACAUGCAGGCAGUACAGACCAUGCCAGAAAGACGCUCAUCA
Maylandia zebra (zebra mbuna) is the source of this 558-nucleotide non-coding RNA. NCBI's taxonomy places the organism in Eukaryota, Metazoa, Chordata, Actinopteri, Cichliformes, Cichlidae. The record is from RefSeq and is a predicted model, not a curated record.